CCAAUUUACUAAUUAAUCCAGAAAAUAUAAAAUUAAAUACUAAAUGCACAAUGAAUAUUUUUGUAUUUUUUUAAAAUUGACAAGCACAAGUAAAAUGCAAACAAUUAUCACAUAAUGACACCAAAACUGAAUUCUUAAUGUCUUCCCGGAGCCGAGAAAUAAAGAGUCGGAUCAUGAGCUUUUCAGAGAUCUCAUCAGUCUCAUUAGCAAUGGUUUCAAAUCGUCCCUGCAACUCCGAGACGGUGGUGACUUUCCGAAGUUUUGCCAAUCUCCCCUCCGCCGACUCGAGACCUUUUUGCUUAAAUCGGAUCCUCACCUUAGCAGCAAAAUGAGGCCAAUCCACCAGUUGUUUGUUUCUGAAUAACCAUCUAUACCAUUCAAGUGCUUCACCAUCAAGAUAAAAUGAAGCCAUAUGUGAGCCUCUGGUCCUCUUCGAUUUUAUAGAAAUCGAAAUAUCGCUCCGCUUGAAAUAUCCACGCCUCCGGAUUAUCACCUCGAAAAUCGACAAAACUCCACUGAUGCUGGAUUGUGACGGAGAGUGGUGGUCACUGGUGCAUGGUCCUGACGAGUUACGUCCAUGGCUGGGUGUCGAUGGGGAAGUCCUGCCGGAGCUUUGGUUGAUACCACUUCCAUCAGUAUUUCGCGAAAUUCAGCGAGGUCCUUGGCAACAGAAUUUGUCACCUUGGUGACAGACUCUUUCAUCUCCAGAAGCGAUUCUUCAACGAAGGUCUUGAGUGAUUUUUGGUCCUUCAUUUAGAGACUGCUUUCAAUGAAAGCACCAAUGUAACAACUGAAUUGUUAACGCUCAAGAAUAGGAACUGCAAGAUUGUAUUGAUUCAAUCAGUGUAUUACAAUGAAGCCUUAAGGGAAAAUUGCAAUAAAACAGUAACCAAAAGUAAGAAAACAGAGAAGGAAGAAGGGAUGGGAAACAGAGAAAAUCAGACUGAGAUGAGAGAAUAAGUAAUAGACUCAACAUAAAAACUGCCCCCUACAACAUUCAUUGAUCCUUCUUUAACACUAUCUAGUAUUCUUCUUAAGCUGCGUACUACUGCUCCUCUGCACGCUAUCAUCACCCCUUCUCCACAAUGAAAUCAGUUAGUUGUAGAACGUCACUCUCUUGCUGAUUGUGUUUGUCUACGUGCCUGGUCAAGUGACUGUCCUUGCUGGCAAGUGAGGUGUCCUCCAAGUCAGCCAUAUGGGUCACAACAAAAAAAAAACAAUACCAAAAUAACUAAUCUUAGUAUAACAUAACUCAUCCCAGCAUAAGCCGUAUCAGCUCCUAAGUGAUAAUUCUUAUAAGAAUGCUUUCAAGAAGCAUAUGAACUCAUAAUCGAAGAGCAGAAUUUCCUCUUCAUGUUAAUCAUCAAACUUUGGAGACAAGAGGGGUUGCUCUGAUGGUAAGCAACCCCCACUUCCAACCGAGAGGUUGUGANNNNNNNNNNNNNNNNNNNNNNNNNNNNNNNNNNNNNNNNNNNNNNNNNNNNNNNNNNNNNNNNNNNNNNNNNNNNNNNNNNNNNNNNNNNNNNNNNNNNNNNNNNNNNNNNNNNNNNNNNNNNNNNNNNNNNNNNNNNNNNNNNNNNNNNNNNNNNNNNNNNNNNNNNNNNNNNNNNNNNNNNNNNNNNNNNNNNNNNNNNNNNNNNNNNNNNNNNNNNNNNNNNNNNNNNNNNNNNNNNNNNNNNNNNNNNNNNNNNNNNNNNNNNNNNNNNNNNNNNNNNNNNNNNNNNNNNNNNNNNNNNNNCUCUACCCUAGAGUAGGGGUAAGGUCUGCGUACACACUACCCUCCCCAGACCCCACUAAGUGGGAUUAUACUGGGUUGUUGUUGUUGUUGUUAAUCAUCAAACUUUGGGAAUUAUUCGUUGGUCAAUCCACUAGAUUUACACCUUAGCAAAAUAGCAGCUCUUAGAAAAAAAUUUUAAAAAAUAAAAAUAACUUAGCAACCACAUCAGCAGCUCCCAGAGUACAUAUAUUAUUCAGCUAAAAGAAUUUUCUCCCUUUUUUUGGAUGAGCAAUCCUCUCAAAGAGCAAUUGGAAGGAGUACUGUCUACUUCAAAUACAACAACAACAACUACCCAGUAAAAUCCCACCAGGUGGGGUCUGGGGAGGGUAAUGUGUACGCAGACCUUACCCCUACCCGAUAGGACAGAGAGGCUGUUUCCGAUUGUCUACUCCAAAUCCCUGUUGUAAAAUUCAUGUCACUGAAAAUAUCUUGAGGCACCCAUUUUCAGUUAAGGUGAGAAAUUACAAAUGCAAAAAAUUCUAACUUUUGGAAGGAAAAAAAACAGAACUAAAUACAAGACGCAUGAAUGUGUAGUCUUCAGCAAGUUACAAUCCCAUUUUCUUCUCCACCUUCUGGAUUUGGUUAAGGAAUAUCCACGUCAUCUGCACAGAGAAUUCGAAGAGAAAAUGUCCAAAUUUAUUCGAGGCAUAAUCAAAAGUUGAGUGUUCAGUUGGAGGACACAGAGAAAACAUACCAUGACAUGAGGCGCGAUCCUAACACAAUAUACUGGAAAUCCAGUGUAGAAUUUGAAGGGCCCUCCUGAUUUCAAAGUUUUCAUGGCACAAUCAAAUGAUCCGGUGUAGGGAUAUUUUCCUUCAGCGUCUGGCUGCAUUUUCUGAAUCUGGGUUUUCACAUAAUCAAAUGGUAAACUGCAAGCAGCAGCAAAGAAUCCCGAAACACUGCUGGCUCCUGUAUUAGGUUAGAGGAAAGAACUAUUAAAUUUAGUAAAGCUAAUUCUUAACUCUGAAACUACUGGACAACUAUACAUGUGACGACCUGGUCGGUCGUCUUUGGUAUUUAUGCCCUGUUCCCCCAUUAACUGCUUUCCCUAAGUUCAUUUCUGCUAUAUUGGUUUGCCGAGACGUUCGGUAUUAGAAUUCGGAGUGUGUUGGGAGAGCUUAAGUGUUGAAAAGUGGUUCGUGAUUGGACCAGUGUGAAGAUGACCUCGGGAUGGAAAUUCGAUGGUUCCGUUAGCUCUGUUAGGUGAUUUCGAGGUUGGAGCGUGUUCGAAAUAUAUUUUGGAUGUCCAUAGCUCAUUUAGGCUAGAAAUGCCGAAAGUUAGAAUUUGGAGGUUUCAGGGUCGGAACGGGAUUCCGGAAGUUGUUGUAGCACUGUCAUGUCAAUUGGGACGUGCGUGCAAAAUUUCAAGUCGAUCGGACGAGUGUUGGUUAGGUUUUGGAUCGAAAGCGUGUUUUGGAUGAACUUGAGGUUCUUAGGCUUGAACCUGUGAUUUAAUCGGGUUUCCGGUAUUGUUUUAUAUAUUUUAAGGGUUGGUGCAAGUUUGAAUAAGGUAUUAGGUGGUAUGGGUGUUUUUGGUUGAGGUACAGGGGGCCCCAGGUGUGUUUCGGACGCUCAACGGGUGAUUUUUUGAGUUAGAGAAAAAUUUGCUGCAAGUCUUCUGGUAUUUCCGCUUCUGCGGCUUGGGAACCGCAGAAGCGGCUUGGCAACCGCAGAAGCGAAAGUGAGGCAAGUCAGCUGAUUCUGCAGAAGCGGAAUCGCUUCUGCGAGUGUAUGACCGCGGGAGCGGAAACUGGGGUUUGAUGAGGAGUCGCAGAAGCGGCCCGUGGUACGCAAAAGCGGGACCGCAGAAGCGGAAAUGACUGUUCAGAUAUAGAAGAAACGAGAGUUAACUUUCAAAAGUUGGAAAAUCAAUUGAAAGCUCGGGAGAAGGCGAUUUUGAGUGGGUUUUGAAUAGAAGAUCAUUUGGUAACGUUGCUUUGAUCCUUCCUAGUUAUAUUUCACCAUUAUAUAGUUAAUUGCACCAUUAAAAUUUGAAUUCAAGGUUUAAAAUUGGGAAAAAGUGGUGAAACUUCUUAGACUUAAUUGUUUGAUUUUGAGUGGGCAUUUGACCUCCGAUUUGGGAGAUUUUUAUAUGGUUAGACUCGUGACAGUACGAGGGUUCUGAAAAUGUAUAAAUUAUUCGAUUCCGAGUCGUUGGCCUAAGAGGCGUUUUGGUCAUUUUACCUAUUUUCACGCCUUAGCUUUAAUUUUAAUAAUGAAAUCAGUUGCUUGCAAUGUUAUUUACGUUACGUAAUUGGAUUGAAUAGAUUUGGGCCAUUCAGAGUCGGAUACUCGUGGCAAAGGCAUCGUUGCUUAGUUGAUUUUGCACCGGUUCGAGGUAAGUGGCUUGUCUAACUUUGUGUGAGGGGCCUCUCCCCUUAGGAUAUAUUAGUUGUUAUUAAAUGCCCGGUACGCGAAGUGACGAGCGUGUACUUGUGCUAGUUGUUGAAAAUCUGUUUUACUUAGAAUAUAUAACCGUGUUUUCUUGCGAAUUUGCCUAUUCUAAAUGCAAUUUAACUUGUGUUAGCUUAGGAUAAGCAUGUUUAGCUGAUUUACUUGCUUAAUUGCCUAAACUGUAUUAUCUGUCCUCCGUGAAGCAUGCUAGACUAGAAAUUCUAUUAAUUGUUCUUACUUAGCAUUUUACCUUAUUUGAAUUGUUGUGGUGUUACCAUUUGGGACAACGGGACAGUAUCCCGAUAACUCCCCUUGCAUGUGUUUCGUUCUAUGACUGAGAGUGCGGGAUACCAAAAGAUCCCUGGCACAGAUAUGAUUACAGAAAGGGAGGAUACCAGGAGAUCCUCGGGAUACUAAGAGAUCCCUUGUGUAUAAUGGAGGAUACUAGGAGAUCCUCGGGAUACUAGGAUCUCCCUCGAGUAUAUGAUGCAGAUACCAGGAGAUCCUCGGGAUACCAGGAGAUCCCCGGUGAUAAAUAUCCGGUGGUGAUUUGCACUUCUAUUUAUUUACUGUGUUAGUUCUCGGUUACUGUCCUAUUUAUUAUUUUGCUAGAUUCUCACAGUAGAUUAUAUCCAUAUUAUCUUUUCCUUAUCAUAUUGAUUAUCAUGUUUUUACCUCAGUAGGGCCUCGACCUUACUCGUCACUACCCAACCGAGGUUAGGCUUGGCACUUACUGAGUACCGUUGUGAUGUACUCACGCCUCUUUUGCGCAUGUUUUUCAUAUGCAGACCCAGGUACUUCUUCUCAGGCGUAUCACCCUCACAGGGGAGAGCACUAGUGGAGACUCGAGGUAUACCUGCUACGUCCGCAGACCCGAAGUCUCUAUUUCAUUCUAGAUGUACUAGAUAGCCCCUUUUCCUUCUAUUAUGUUGCUUUAGUUACUCUGGUGUAGAGCGUAUUAUGCUACUCUUUUAGCCUGUGUUGCCCGUGGGAUUCCGGGUCUUUGGGAUGGUUUCAGAAAUUCUAAGUGUUAAAGUGUAUGUGCCAGGCAGCAGCUGUAUACAUUACUCAUGUUAUUUAGCUUUUGAUUAUAAAUUUCUUAAAUGUUAUUACUUCCGCAAUGUGUUAGGCUUACCUAGUCAUAAAGACUAGGUGCCGUCAUGACAUGUUCACCAUUGGUGAACUAGGGUCGUGACAAUACAUAUAUUAUAAUUCACCAUAUGACUAUAUAUUAUUUAAUACAGGUCAAAUAACUAAAUGCUAUAACCAACACAAAAUCAAUAAGGCAUACUAAACAAGCAAUAUUAAAUUUUUGACAAAUAAGGCAAUCGAGGUCAAAUGCAAAAAGGAGAAUACAGAGAGAAACAAAUGCAACAAGCAGAGAAACUAAACAACAUAUAAUAUGCUGUAUAAGUUUAUACUCUUAGGUGAUGUUUGGUGGGAGUAGUGGAGAAAAUAAUCUACCCACGUAAAAAAAGUUAACAUUGUUAAUAAAAUGUUUGGUUUCCCUUUUCCUUUUCACAUAAAAAUUAGCAUUAUUUUAUACAAUGUUUGAAUCCACUUAUACGCAUUAUUUUAUGCAAGAUAAAACAUAGAGAAAGAAUGCAGGGAGGGAUUAGCAAUGCACAGAUUAAAACUGUUAAAUGACAAAAAUAACCCUUCAUGUAGUAACCAAUAGUAUUUUAUUUUGUUAAAAGAAAAAAAAGAAUAUUUUAACAUAUACACUAUAUAAUAAAUGUUAAUACAAACUCAAUAUCCAGUGAAAAAUAAUUCUUACAUUACAACCCAUGUUUCCGAGACAAAGCCUGGGUCGUCGAACUAAAGAAUCUCAGCCCGACUUCUAUGUCAGCCGGGAAUAACGGUUCUGUAACACGAUCCCUGCAUUACUAAUCCUUGCAUAACUUGCUUAUAAUAGACAAGAGGGGUUGCUCUGAUGGUAAGCAACUCCGACUUCCAACCGAGAGGUUGUGAGUUCGAGUCUCCCCAAGAGCAAGGUGGGAAGUUGGAAGGAUGCCGGGGGUCUAUUUGGAAACGGCCUCUCUACCUAAGGGUUGGGGUAAGGUCUGCGUACACACUACCCUCCCCAGACCCCACUAAGUGGAAUUAUA
RNAcentral lists this long non-coding RNA (6279 nucleotides) under Nicotiana benthamiana. Its description in RNAcentral is "long non-coding RNA (NBEN_LNC008453)". The record is from RNAcentral. Lineage: Eukaryota; Viridiplantae; Streptophyta; Magnoliopsida; Solanales; Solanaceae.